GAUGAACGCUAGCGAUAGGCCUAACACAUGCAAGUCGAGGGGCAGCACAUGAAGUAGCAAUACGGAUGGUGGCGACCGGCGCACGGGUGAGUAACACGUAUGCAACCUACCUUUAACAGGGGAAUAACCCGUUGAAAAACGGACUAAUACUCCAUAACACAGGGGUCCCGCAUGGGAAUAUUUGUUAAAGAUUUAUCGGUUGUAGAUGGGCAUGCGUUCCAUUAGCUGGUUGGUGAGGUAACGGCUCACCAAGGCAACGAUGGAUAGGGGAACUGAGAGGUUUAUCCCCCACACUGGUACUGAGACACGGACCAGACUCCUACGGGAGGCAGCAGUGAGGAAUAUUGGUCAAUGGACGCAAGUCUGAACCAGCCACGUCGCGUGAAGGAAGACGGCCCUACGGGUUGUAAACUUCUUUUGUAAGGGAAUAAAGUGCAGUACGUGUACUGUUUUGCAUGUACCUUACGAAUAAGGAUCGGCUAACUCCGUGCCAGCAGCCGCGGUAAUACGGAGGAUCCGAGCGUUAUCCGGAUUUAUUGGGUUUAAAGGGUGCGCAGGCGGGAGAUUAAGUCGGCGGUGAAAUUUUGCAGCUCAACUGUAAAAGUGCCUUCGAAACUGGUUUUCUUGAGUGUGGAUGAAGUAGGCGGAAUUUGUGGUGUAGCGGUGAAAUGCAUAGAUAUCACGAGGAACUCCGAUUGCGCAGGCAGCUUACUAAGCCAUAACUGACGCUCAGGCACGAAGGCGUGGGGAUCAAACA
Molecule: ribosomal RNA, 757 nt
Filed under: bacterium enrichment culture clone B4-19
Lineage: Bacteria
Description: bacterial SSU rRNA
Rfam family: Bacterial small subunit ribosomal RNA
Source: RNAcentral